AUACAGCCUAAUCGAAUUUUUUUUCUUCAGUCCGACUCAACCCAAGCGAAACGAAAGGCGCGCUUCUGGCCUUCGGCCCUACGCGGUGCUCGGCAUUUGGCCUUAAAAUUUGAAAACUCUGCAAAUUGACUGUUGUUAUUUGUUGGCAUUGAAUAAAUAAAGUGUUUCCAUGCAGCCGUUGCUAAAUAAGUUAAACAUAGUCGUCGUGUAAAAAAGCAAUUCGAUGGAGCGAUAAAGAUAUCUCAGAGAUGCCACCUCAUAUCCGCGAGUUCCACCAAGAGAGCAACGAUGCCCCAAUAUGAGGUUCGUGAAUAUAUCAUAGAUAGUUUAUAAUAUGUGUAACAUAUCCUUCAUUUCUCAAUAGCUAUGUAUCUUUUAUAAAAAUGUAAUGUUGUUCUAUAAAGUUUAGUUUUGUCAA
This is a long non-coding RNA of Cydia pomonella (codling moth), 418 nucleotides long. RefSeq lists it as uncharacterized. The transcript is spliced from 2 exons. Lineage: Eukaryota; Metazoa; Arthropoda; Insecta; Lepidoptera; Tortricidae. The record is from RefSeq and is a predicted model, not a curated record.